GCGGGAAUAACUCAGUGGUAGAGUGUCAGCUUCCCAAGCUGAAGGUCGCGAGUUCGAAUCUCGUUUCCCGCU
Transfer RNA from Desulfopila aestuarii DSM 18488, 72 nucleotides. It matches the Rfam family "tRNA". From Rfam's summary of the family: Transfer RNA (tRNA) molecules are approximately 80 nucleotides in length. Their secondary structure includes four short double-helical elements and three loops (D, anti-codon, and T loops). NCBI's taxonomy places the organism in Bacteria, Pseudomonadati, Thermodesulfobacteriota, Desulfobulbia, Desulfobulbales, Desulfocapsaceae. The record is from Rfam.